RNAcentral lists this ribosomal RNA (397 nucleotides) under uncultured bacterium. RNAcentral's name for it is "bacterial SSU rRNA". It matches the Rfam family "Bacterial small subunit ribosomal RNA", at positions 29 to 414 of the family's 1533-position model. The record is from RNAcentral.
AGCGAACGCUGGCGGCGUGCCUAACACAUGCAAGUCGAACGUGAAAGUGAGCAAUCAUGAGUAAAGUGGCGUACGGGUGAGUAACACGUAGGUAAUCUACCUAAGAGCCUGGGAUAACCUGCCGAAAGGCGGGCUAAUACUGGAUAGUUCAAGCCAACUUUAAAGGUUGGAUUGGGAAAGGGAGCUUGUAAGAGCCCUCACUUUUAGAUGAGCCUGCGUCUGAUUAGCUAGUUGGCGGGGUAAUGGCCCACCAAGGCGAUGAUCAGUAGCUGGUCUGAGAGGAUGAUCAGCCACACUGGAACUGAAACACGGUCCAGACUCCUACGGGAGGCAGCAGUGGGGAGUCUUGCGCAAUGGACGAAAGUCUGACGCAGCCACGCCGCGUGAGUGAAGAAGG